This 64-nucleotide transfer RNA is filed under the name Succineidae gen. n. sp. z RM-2021. RNAcentral describes it as "tRNA-Pro". The record is from RNAcentral. Lineage: Eukaryota; Metazoa; Mollusca; Gastropoda; Stylommatophora; Succineidae.
UUUUAGGUAGUUUAUAAAAAAUAAUAACUUUGGGAGUUGUUGAAUGAAAAGGAAAAUUUCAUCU